ACGGAAGGCAGCAGUGAGGAAUAUUGGUCAAUGGGCGGAAGCCUGAACCAGCCAAGUCGCGUGAAGGAUGAAGGUAUUAUGUAUUGUAAACUUCUUUAGACGCAGAGAAAUAAGCACCUCGUGAGGUGUGAUGCUAGUAUGCGUAGAAUAAGGAUCGGCUAACUCCGUGCCAGCAGCCGCGGUAAUACGGAGGAUCCGAGCGUUAUCCGGAUUUAUUGGGUUUAAAGGGUGCGCAGGCGGCGCUUUAAGUCAGUGGUCAAAUCGUGGAGCUCAACUCCAUCCCGCCAUUGAUACUGGGGCGCUUGAUUGCGGUUGAGGUAGGCGGAAUUCGUCGUGUAGCGGUGAAAUGCAUAGAUAUGACGAAGAACCCCGAUUGCGUAGGCAGCUUACCAAGCCGUAAAUGACGCUCAUGCACGAAAGUGCGGGGAUCGAACAGGAUUAGAUACCCUGGUA
This 453-nucleotide ribosomal RNA is filed under the name uncultured Porphyromonadaceae bacterium. RNAcentral's name for it is "partial 16S ribosomal RNA". It matches the Rfam family "Bacterial small subunit ribosomal RNA", at positions 341 to 792 of the family's 1533-position model. The record is from RNAcentral. Lineage: Bacteria; Pseudomonadati; Bacteroidota; Bacteroidia; Bacteroidales; Porphyromonadaceae.